This 459-nucleotide ribosomal RNA is filed under the name uncultured bacterium. RNAcentral's name for it is "partial 16S ribosomal RNA". It matches the Rfam family "Bacterial small subunit ribosomal RNA", at positions 338 to 795 of the family's 1533-position model. The record is from RNAcentral.
CCUACGGGAGGCAGCAGUGAGGAAUAUUGGUCAAUGGCCGGAAGGCUGAACCAGCCAUGCCGCGUGAAGGUCAGUGCCCUAUGGGCGUUCAACUUCUUUUGUUCGGGAGCAAUAAUGGUCACGUGUGGCCAGACGAGAGUACCGUACGAAUAAGGAUCGGCUAACUCCGUGCCAGCAGCCACGGUAAUACGGAGGAUCCAAGCGUUAUCCGGAUUUAUUUGGUUUAAAGGGUGCGUAGGCGGUUUGAUAAGUUAGAGGUGAAAGACCGGUGCUCAACACCGGAACUGCAUCUAAUACUGUUGAACGAGAGAGUAGUUGCGGUAGGCGGAAUGUAUGGUGUAGCGGUGAAAUGCUUAGAGAUCAUACAGAACACCGAUUGCGAAGGCAGCUUACCAAACUAUAUCUGACGUUGAGGCACGAAAGCGUGGGUAGCAAACAGGAUUAGAUACCCUUGUAGUC